GGAAUAUAAGAACCCGUCUCUUAACUUUUAACUAAAAAAGCUAAGAGCCGGUUCUUAAAUAAGAUAUUUAAUAACCGGUUUUUAGUUUUUUUAGUUAAAAGUUAAGAGACGGGUUCUUAUAUUCC
MicroRNA precursor from Brassica oleracea var. oleracea, 125 nucleotides. It matches the Rfam family "MIR9563 microRNA precursor family". NCBI's taxonomy places the organism in Eukaryota, Viridiplantae, Streptophyta, Magnoliopsida, Brassicales, Brassicaceae. The record is from Rfam.